RNAcentral lists this ribosomal RNA (642 nucleotides) under uncultured archaeon. RNAcentral describes it as "bacterial SSU rRNA". It matches the Rfam family "Archaeal small subunit ribosomal RNA", at positions 1 to 622 of the family's 1478-position model. The record is from RNAcentral.
UUCCGGUUGAUCCCGCCGGACCUUACUGCUAUCGGGGUGGGACUAAGACAUGCGAGUCGAGCGUCUCUAGCUAUGUUGAGACGGGGCAGACGGCUCAGUAACACGUGGCUAACCUACCCUCAGGACGAGGACAAACCCGGGAAGCUGGGGCUAAUACUCGAUAGGUGAGGAUAUCUGGAAUGAUUUCUCACUCAAAGGGCCUUGGAAACAUGCUUCCAAUGUCGCCUGGGGAUGGGGCCGCGUCCGAUCAGGUUGUUGGUGGGGUAACGGCUCACCAAGCCUAUAACCGGUACGGGCCGUGAGAGCGGUAGCCCGGAGAUGGGUACUGAGACAAGGACCCAGGCCCUACGGGGCGCAGCAGUCGCGAAAACUCCGCAAUGCACGAAAGUGUGACGGGGCUACCCCGAGUGCCAUCCGCUGAGGAUGGCUUUUCCUUGGUGUAACUAGCCGGGGGAAUAAGGAGAGGGCAAGACUGGUGUCAGCCGCCGCGGUAAUACCAGCUCUCCGAGUGGUAGGGAUGAUUAUUGGGCUUAAAGCGUCCGUAGCCGGCUUAGCAAGUCUCCUGUUAAAUUCAGCGACCUAAUCGUUGACCCGCGGGAGAUACUACUAGGCUAGGAGGCGGGAGAGGUCGACGGUACUUCU